This 303-nucleotide non-coding RNA is filed under the name Schistosoma margrebowiei. RNAcentral's name for it is "Eukaryotic small subunit ribosomal RNA". It matches the Rfam family "Eukaryotic small subunit ribosomal RNA", at positions 203 to 543 of the family's 1831-position model. Lineage: Eukaryota; Metazoa; Platyhelminthes; Trematoda; Strigeidida; Schistosomatidae. The record is from Rfam by way of RNAcentral.
UCUUGAGUGACUUUAAAAGUGAUCUCAUGAAAAUUUAACCAGAUAUUAUAUUAGGCAAUCAGAAAACUGGAGGGAGAUUCGAAUCCUCAUAUACUUUUUCCUUUAUAAGUAAACCUAUGAAGGAGAGGGAGCCUGAGAAAUGGCUACCACAUCCAAGGACGGAAGCAGGUGCGAAAACUACCCACUCCCGGCACGGGGAGGUAGUGACAAAAAAUACGGAUACGGGACUCAAUUGAGGCUCCGUAAUUCGAAUGAGUACAAUCCUAAUGAAGUAUGAAAAUAGGGUUGAGAGUUUGGCUUAGA